This 498-nucleotide ribosomal RNA is filed under the name uncultured bacterium. Its description in RNAcentral is "partial 16S ribosomal RNA". It matches the Rfam family "Bacterial small subunit ribosomal RNA", at positions 30 to 523 of the family's 1533-position model. The record is from RNAcentral.
AUUGAACGCUGGCGGCAUGCCUUACACAUGCAAGUCGAACGGUAACAGGUCUUCGGAUGCUGACGAGUGGCGAACGGGUGAGUAAUACAUCGGAACGUGCCUAGUAGUGGGGGAUAACUACUCGAAAGAGUGGCUAAUACCGCAUGAGAUCUACGGAUGAAAGCAGGGGAACGCAAGACCGUGUGAUACGAGAGCGGCCGAGGGCAAGUUAGGUAGUUGGUGGGAUAAAAGCUUACCAAGCCGACGAGCUGUAGCUGGUAUGAGAGGACGAUCAGCCACACUGGGACUGAGACACGGCCCAGACUCCUACGGGAGGCAGCAGUGGGGAAUUUUGGACAAUGGGCGAAAGCCUGAUCCAGCAAUGCCGCGCGCAGGAUGAAGGCCUUCGGGUUGUAAACUGCUUUUGUACGGAACGAAAAGCCCUGGGUUAAUACCCUGGGGUCAUGACGGUACCGUAAGAAUAAGCACCGGCUAACUACGUGCCAGCAGCCGCAGUAA